AUUGAACGCUGGCGGCAGGCCUAACACAUGCAAGUCGAGCGGAUGAAGGGAGCUUGCUCCUGGAUUCAGCGGCGGACGGGUGAGUAAUGCCUAGGAAUCUGCCUGGUAGUGGGGGAUAACGUCCGGAAACGGGCGCUAAUACCGCAUACGUCCUGAGGGAGAAAGUGGGGGAUCUUCGGACCUCACGCUAUCAGAUGAGCCUAGGUCGGAUUAGCUAGUUGGUGGGGUAAAGGCCUACCAAGGCGACGAUCCGUAACUGGUCUGAGAGGAUGAUCAGUCACACUGGAACUGAGACACGGUCCAGACGCCUAAGGGAGGCAGCAGUGGGGAAUAUUGGACAAUGGGCGAAAGCCUGAUCCAGCCAUGCCGCGUGUGUGAAGAAGGUCUUCGGAUUGGAAAGCACGUUAAGUUGGGAGGAAGGGCAGUAAGUUAAUACCUUGCUGUUUUGACGUUACCAACAGAAUAAGCACCGGCUAACUUCGUG
RNAcentral lists this ribosomal RNA (484 nucleotides) under uncultured bacterium. RNAcentral describes it as "partial 16S ribosomal RNA". It matches the Rfam family "Bacterial small subunit ribosomal RNA", at positions 30 to 507 of the family's 1533-position model. The record is from RNAcentral.